This 255-nucleotide ribosomal RNA is filed under the name uncultured bacterium. RNAcentral describes it as "partial 16S ribosomal RNA". It matches the Rfam family "Bacterial small subunit ribosomal RNA", at positions 524 to 776 of the family's 1533-position model. The record is from RNAcentral.
UACGGAGGGUGCAAGCGUUGUCCGGAUUUAUUGGGUUUAAAGGGUGCGUAGGCGGCUUUUUUAAGUCAGUGGUGAAAUACAGCAGCUCAACUGUUGAGGUGCCAUUGAUACUGAGAGGCUUGAGUACAGAUGAGGUAGGCGGAAUUUAUGGUGUAGCGGCGAAAUGCAUAGAUACCAUAAAGAACACCGAUUGCGAAGGCAGCUUACUAAGCUGUAACUGACGCUGAGGCACGAAAAGCGUGGGGAGCGAACAGG